This is a long non-coding RNA of Sebastes umbrosus (honeycomb rockfish), 369 nucleotides long. RefSeq lists it as uncharacterized. The record is from RefSeq and is a predicted model, not a curated record. NCBI's taxonomy places the organism in Eukaryota, Metazoa, Chordata, Actinopteri, Perciformes, Sebastidae. The transcript is spliced from 3 exons.
GAAUCAUCUAUUUGGAUUUUAUGUCCUCAUGCAACCAAACACUGUUCUGUUUAGUGCCAGCAGUAGUCAACAUUUACAAUGUUCACUACUCUUGCAGUGAAGUAUGAUUCAGAAUAUGCAUCUCUGAGAGAAUAAAGAGAAAAGUUGAGUGGAAAUGAGCUCCCUCGAGGAUUCCAGAUCAUGUUUCAAGAUUAGGAAGAUGGUAGUGGUUCAACUUUGUGGAAAGCAUGGAUGCGGUGGAAGGCUUUGCAGGAAGAGGGGAGCUGCAGGGAAUUUACUUGGAAAACUGGCAACCCGGCUGCAGUUCUGCCAGUUAUGUGCGGCGUUUUAUGAAUGAAUGGAAUAAAUGUUUAACGGAGGUGUGGGCCG